UGUUUUUGAGCCCAAGGAAUAAGUAUGUAGUCAUGAUUGCCACCCGCUAUAGGCUCUGUUAACAGUGUAAAGAAAGUUGGAAGUUCUCUCCUGAGAAGAAGUAACUUCAAUGCGGAAGGACCCGGGCUUCUCAUGUUUCUCUUUGUAUCCUGACCGCCGGGAACUGCUACAAAGUCCUGCAAGUGAGGCUUAGACCCAGAUCUUGUGAAGUGUUUUCACAUUUCCCCAUGGAUGCCUAGCGAGGGACUGGGACUGCCUGAUCCGCUUUGGUCAAGAGCACGUGGGUGGCCUGUGUGCAGCCUUAUCAUCAAUAAUUGCAGGACUUGGUGGAGUAUGGUUGAACAGGUGCUCAGACUGCGUGCGUGUCUAGCGAGGCCAUCCUGAAGCUGCAUGGGAGUUGUAAAAAAGUUACCAACAAGGUUUUAGUUAUUUGAAUAGGUUUUUGAAUAGAUUUGGAAUGUGGGAAGCAGUUGCAGAAAUAAACGUCUUAAUGACUAAA
RNAcentral lists this long non-coding RNA (499 nucleotides) under Pan troglodytes (chimpanzee). RNAcentral's name for it is "lincRNA". Lineage: Eukaryota; Metazoa; Chordata; Mammalia; Primates; Hominidae. The record is from RNAcentral.